RNAcentral lists this small RNA (692 nucleotides) under Pan troglodytes (chimpanzee). RNAcentral describes it as "retained intron". Lineage: Eukaryota; Metazoa; Chordata; Mammalia; Primates; Hominidae. The record is from RNAcentral.
AUGCGCAGACUCAGUUCCUGGAGAAAGAUGGCGACAGCCGAGAAGCAGAAACACGACGGGCGGGUGAAGAUCGGCCACUACAUUCUGGGUGACACGCUGGGGGUUGGCACCUUCGGCAAAGUGAAGGUUGGCAAACAUGAAUUGACUGGGCAUAAAGUAGCUGUGAAGAUACUCAAUCGACAGAAGAUUCGGAGCCUUGAUGUGGUAGGAAAAAUCCGCAGAGAAAUUCAGAACCUCAAGCUUUUCAGGCAUCCUCAUAUAAUUAAACUGUACCAGGUCAUCAGUACACCAUCUGAUAUUUUCAUGGUGAUGGAAUAUGUCUCAGGAGGAGAGCUAUUUGAUUAUAUCUGUAAGAAUGGAAGGCUGGAUGAAAAAGAAAGUCGGCGUCUGUUCCAACAGAUCCUUUCUGGUGUGGAUUAUUGUCACAGGCAUAUGGUGGUCCAUAGAGAUUUGAAACCUGAAAAUGUCCUGCUUGAUGCACACAUGAAUGCAAAGAUAGCUGAUUUUGAUUGUAUGCAGGCCCAGAGGUAGAUAUAUGGAGCAGUGGGGUUAUUCUCUAUGCUUUAUUAUGUGGAACCCUUCCAUUUGAUGAUGACCAUGUGCCAACUCUUUUUAAGAAGAUAUGUGAUGGGAUCUUCUAUACCCCUCAAUAUUUAAAUCCUUCUGUGAUUAGCCUUUUGAAACAUAUGCUG